Molecule: ribosomal RNA, 464 nt
Filed under: uncultured bacterium
Lineage: Bacteria
Description: bacterial SSU rRNA
Rfam family: Bacterial small subunit ribosomal RNA
Source: RNAcentral
GCCAGACUCCUACGGGAGGCAGCAGUGAGGAAUAUUGGUCAAUGGGCGAGAGCCUGAACCAGCCAAGUCGCGUGAGGGAAGACGGUCCUAUGGAUUGUAAACCUCUUUUGCCGGGGAGCAAAAAGCGGUACGUGUACCGCAUCGAGAGUACCCGGAGAAAAAGCAUCGGCUAACUCCGUGCCAGCAGCCGCGGUAAUACGGAGGAUGCGAGCGUUAUCCGGAUUUAUUGGGUUUAAAGGGUGCGCAGGCGGCGAGUUAAGUCAGCGGUAAAAAUGCGGAGCUCAACUCCGUCGAGCCGUUGAAACUGCCGUUCUUGAGUGAGCGAGAAGUAUGCGGAAUGCGUGGUGUAGCGGUGAAAUGCAUAGAUAUCACGCAGAACUCCGAUUGCGAAGGCAGCAUACCGGCGCUCAACUGACGCUGAAGCACGAAGGCGUGGGUAUCGAACAGGAUUAGAUACCCCAGUA